CCUACGGGAGGCAGCAGUAGGGAAUAUUGGGCAAUGGUCGAGAGACUGACCCAGCCAUGCCGCGUGCAGGAUGGAGGCUUUCUGAGUCGUAAACUGCUUUUAUCAGGGAAGAACAAGGCUCAUGCGUGGGCUGAUGACGGUACCUGAGGAAUAAGCACCGGCUAACUCCGUGCCAGCAGCCGCGGUAAUACGGAGGGUGCGAGCGUUGUCCGGAUUUAUUGGGUUUAAAGGGUGCGUAGGCGGCCUGAUAAGUCUGGGGUGAAAGCCCGCUGCUCAACAGCGGAACUGCCCUGGAUACUGUCAGGCUUGAGGACAGACGAGGUUGGCGGAAUAGAGAGUGUAGCGGUGAAAUGCAUAGAUACCCUCUAGAACCCCGAUUGCGAAGGCAGCUGACUAGACUGUAUCUGACGCUGAGGCACGAAAGCGUGGGGAGCGAACAGGAUUAGAUACCCUGGUAGUCCACGCCGUAAACGGUGGGUGCUAGGUGUGAGCGGUAUUCCACGCCGUUCGUGCCGCAGCUAACGCAUUAAGCACCCCGCCUGGGGAGUACGGCCGCAAGGCUAAAACUCAAAGGAAUUGACGGA
RNAcentral lists this ribosomal RNA (584 nucleotides) under uncultured bacterium. Its description in RNAcentral is "bacterial SSU rRNA". It matches the Rfam family "Bacterial small subunit ribosomal RNA", at positions 338 to 917 of the family's 1533-position model. The record is from RNAcentral.